RNAcentral lists this unclassified non-coding RNA (405 nucleotides) under soil metagenome. Its description in RNAcentral is "partial contains 5.8S ribosomal RNA, internal transcribed spacer 2, and large subunit ribosomal RNA". The stretch from base 1 to 121 matches the Rfam family "5.8S ribosomal RNA", at positions 35 to 154 of the family's 154-position model. The record is from RNAcentral.
GAUGAAGAACGCAGCGAAAUGCGAUAAGUAAUGUGAAUUGCAGAAUUCAGUGAAUCAUCAAAUCUUUGAACGCACCUUGCGCCCUUUGGCCAUUCCGAAGGGCAUGCCUGUUUGAGUAUCAUGAACACCUCAACUCUUUAUGGUUUUCCAUGAUGAGCUUGGACUCUGGGGGUUUUGCUGGCUCACAGUCGGCUCCUCUAAAAUGAAUCAGCUUACCAGUGUUUGGUGGGUAUCAUGGGUGUGAUAACUAUCUACGCUUGUGGUUUUUCCACCAGGUAACCUUCAGCAGUGGAGGUUCGCUGGAGCUCAUAGAUGUCUCUCCUCAGUGAGGACAGCCCUUUGAAUGUUUGAUCUCAAAUCAGGUAGGACUACCCGCUGAACUUAAGCAUAUCAAUAAGCGGAGGA